GAUGAACGCUAGCGGCAGGCUUAACACAUGCAAGUCGAGGGGUAUAGUUCUUCGGAGCUAGAGACCGGCGCACGGGUGCGUAACGCGUAUGCAAUCUACCUUUUACAGAGGGAUAGCCCAGAGAAAUUUGGAUUAAUACCUCAUAGUAUGUGAGAAUCGCAUGGUUUUCACAUUAAAGUUCCAACGGUAAAAGAUGAGCAUGCGUCCCAUUAGCUAGAUGGUAAGGUAACGGCUUACCAUGGCGACGAUAGGUAGGGGGCCUGAGAGGGUGGUCCCCCCACACUGGUACUGAGACACGGACCAGACUCCUACGGGAGGCAGCAGUGAGGAAUAUUGGUCAAUGGGCGCAAGCCUGAACCAGCCAUGCCGCGUGCAGGAGAAUGCCCUAUGGGUUGUAAACUGCUUUUAUUGGGAAUAAACCUCUUUACGUGUAGANAGCUGAAGGUACCAAAUGAAUAAGCACCGGCUAACUCCGUG
RNAcentral lists this ribosomal RNA (477 nucleotides) under uncultured bacterium. Its description in RNAcentral is "bacterial SSU rRNA". It matches the Rfam family "Bacterial small subunit ribosomal RNA", at positions 28 to 507 of the family's 1533-position model. The record is from RNAcentral.